CAGUAGCCACGGGAAUACGGAGGGAGCUAGCGUUGUUCGGAAUUACUGGGCGUAAAGCGCACGUAGGCGGACUUUUAAGUCAGAGGUGAAAUCCCAAGGCUCAACCUUGGAACUGCCUUUGAUACUGGGAGUCUUGAGUUCGGGAGAGGUGAGUGGAACUGCGAGUGUAGAGGUGAAAUUCGUAGAUAUUCGCAAGAACACCAGUGGCGAAGGCGGCUCACUGGCCCGAUACUGACGCUGAGGUGCGAAAGCGUGGGGAGCAAACAGGAUUAGAUACCCCCGUAGUCCCUGUCUCUUAUAC
Molecule: ribosomal RNA, 301 nt
Filed under: uncultured bacterium
Lineage: Bacteria
Description: partial 16S ribosomal RNA
Rfam family: Bacterial small subunit ribosomal RNA
Source: RNAcentral